This 426-nucleotide ribosomal RNA is filed under the name uncultured bacterium. RNAcentral's name for it is "bacterial SSU rRNA". It matches the Rfam family "Bacterial small subunit ribosomal RNA", at positions 355 to 773 of the family's 1533-position model. The record is from RNAcentral.
UGGGGAAUAUUGGACAAUGGGCGAAAGCCUGAUCCAGCGACGCCGCGUGGGUGAAGAAGGCCUGCGGGUUGUAAAGCCCUUUCGUUGGGGAAGAAAAGUGUCGACCUAACACGUCGGCACCUUGACGUUACCCAAAGAAGAAGCACCGGCUAACUCUGUGCCAGCAGCCGCGGUAAUACAGAGGGUGCGAGCGUUAAUCGGAAUUACUGGGCGUAAAGCGCACGUAGAUGGCUUCGUAAGUCGGAUGUGAAAUCCCCGGGCUUAACCUGGGAACUGCGUUUGUGACUGCAAGGCUGGAGUACGGCAGAGGGGGGUGGAAUUCCACGUGUAGCAGUGAAAUGCGUAGAGAUGUGGAGGAACACCGAUGGCGAAGGCAGCCCCCUGGGCCUGUACUGACGCUCAUGCACGAAAGCGUGGGGAGCAAAC